UGAAACCCCGUCUCUACUAAAAAUACAAAAAGUAAAUAUUUUCCAAAACUUGAAUGUGUGUUUACUCAAAAACAUCCUAUCAAGGUGUAAUUUUGGAGGUAGAAUAUAUUACCAAUUUAUUUUACUAAUGCAUGUACAAUCUGUUGUUCUACACGAACAAAACAAAAAAAAAACAGAGUUUGGCUCUUGUCGCCCAGUCUGCAGUACAGUGGCGUGAUCUCGGCACAAAGAACUCCUGAAAACAGAUAGAAAAAGUCAACAACUCAGUAACAAAAUGGCCAUACAAAGCAAACAGACAUUUAACCAAAGCAGAAACAUGAAUGACUGGAAAACAUAUAAUCCAAAGCUAGAGCUUUUUAUUUAUUUAUUUAUUUAUUUAUUUAUUUAUUUAUUUAUUUUUAUUUUUUGAGACGGAGUCUUACUCUGUCACCCAGGCUGAGAGUGCAGGGGCGCGAUCUUGGCUCACUUCAAGCUCUGCCUCCCAGGUUCACGCCAUUCUCCUGCCUCAGCCUCCCUAGUAGCUGGGACUACCGGUGCCCGCCAUCACGCCCAGCUACUUUUUUGUAUUUUUCAGUAGAGACAGGGUUUCACUGUGUUAGCCAGGAUGGUCUCGAUCUCAUGACCUCGUGAUCAGCCCUCCUCGGCCUCCCAAAGUGCUGGGAUUACAGGCAUGAGCCUCCACGCCCAGCAGCUAGACCUUUUUAGUAACCAGGAAAAUAAUACUAAAUAAACAAAUUACCAUUUCAUGUCCACUGAAUUGGCAAGAAUUUAAAAGUCUGACUAUCUCAGAUGUUGGAGAGAAUGUGGAGCAAUGAAAACUAUGAUCCACUGUUGGUGAGAGUGGGAACUGGCUCAUUGAUUUUGGAAAACGAUUUAGCAUUAUGUAGUAAAGUUACAGAUGCAUAUAUCGCACUAUCCAGCAAUUCCACUUUCUAUAUCCUCUAGAAAGCCUUGCUUGUGAACAGCGGGAGACAUCCACAAGAAUGUUCCUGAUAGUUUGGAAACAACCUGGCUGUCAGUGGUAAGGGGAGUAAAUAGAUAACUUGUGGUCUAUUUAUACAAUUGAAUACUCUGCAUCAGAGAAUCAACUACAUGCAUAUGAAUGAAUCUCACAAAUAAAAUUCUGAACAAACAAGGCCAAUCACAGAAGGCAUAAAAUAGUAUACCUUUCAUAUAAAGUUCAAAUACUUGUAAAACUAAUACUAUUUUGUUAGGGAUUCAUAUAUAUAAGGAGUAUAUAUGUGUAUGUGUGUGUGUAUCUCUGUCUACCUAUAUCUAUAUGUAGUAAAACUUAUUGAAAAGGAUGAGAAUAAUAAACACAAAAAGUCUGGACAGUUGUUAUCUCUGAAGUGAAGGAGUGUGAGAAAUAACUCAUAUGAGUGCCAAAGGCAUUAGAAAAGUUUUCUUUCUUAUACUAGGUGAUAAAAACAGGGAUAUAAAUUUUACUGUUAUCAUUUAUACUUACUUCAUAUUUAUUAUUUUAUAUGUAUGAAAUAUUUCAUAAUUUUUAGAAGCCAAAAGAGAAAUAUAUAUAAAUUCUUAUUAUCGAAUAACUUUUGCAGAAACUAAGUUUAUUUGGAUAAAGAUUAAAAAUGUGUAACACACACUAUUUAGCACUCUUCGGGCAACAUAAGGUGAAAGACGUGUUGACCCGGCAUGGGUUUAGAGCAUUCCUAACACAGCGCACAUU
Molecule: long non-coding RNA, 1690 nt
Filed under: Homo sapiens (human)
Lineage: Eukaryota; Metazoa; Chordata; Mammalia; Primates; Hominidae
Description: non-protein coding lnc-CITED2-6:1
Source: RNAcentral